Molecule: ribosomal RNA, 302 nt
Filed under: Pholcus pagbilao
Lineage: Eukaryota; Metazoa; Arthropoda; Arachnida; Araneae; Pholcidae
Description: partial 12S ribosomal RNA
Source: RNAcentral
GGUAGUAAAUCAAACCAAUAUGUAAUGGCGGUCUUCAGUAUCUAGAGAAACUCGCUUUAUAAUCGUAACUACUCGAUAAGUUUAACUUUACUUAUUAGUUUAUAUACCGCCGUUUAGGGUUAUACUUUACCCAAACCCAUAAUAUAACAACAUAAAAAAUCAGGUCAAGGUGUAACUCAUAGAAAAGAAAAAGUAAGUUACAUUAAAGAUAAUUUAAGAAUUAUACAUAAAAAUAAAUAUGAAAAAGAAUUUAGAAGUACGUAUUAAUUAAAAUUUAAAACCUAAAUAAAUACUAAAGAUGC